Nyctereutes procyonoides (raccoon dog) is the source of this 834-nucleotide long non-coding RNA. RefSeq lists it as uncharacterized. The transcript is spliced from 3 exons. NCBI's taxonomy places the organism in Eukaryota, Metazoa, Chordata, Mammalia, Carnivora, Canidae. The record is from RefSeq and is a predicted model, not a curated record.
ACGGCUGAGAACAGCACUUCAGAACCACCCUCCGAUCCACACAGCCCCACUGGGGGGGAAGGUGGGCAAGGCCAAGACCCUCCACGCCGAGUUCAAGCAAUUCCUCUGCCUGGUGGGCUGCCCACGCAGCCACUUUCUCUCCGGGUUUGGGUGGCAGAGGAGAGAUCCAAGCCAGGGGCUGCCAGGGUGUGUGAAUGACGGACGAGAAAGUGAGAAUAAGCAGUCAGCACCGGGGGUGAUGACUUCACGUGAGCAGUACCGGGCAGGCAGCAGGGCAGGAAGAGAUUGGCAGGAAGAGGCUGGGGAGAGCAUUUGGACCACAGAGGAUCAAAGCCAGAAGACCCCAAAGGACGACCAGGUGAGUCCUACCCUCUUUGUGAGGUGAGGACGCAAAGGCCCAGGAAAGUCAGACACCGCUCCUCCCUGGAGGCCCUACUCUGGACUCUUCCAGAAGGCAAUGUGGAAACCGCCUCCUGAGAACACAGAAGUCGUCUCCUGCAACAAUCCUGCUCUCUUCAUUUGUCAAAUCUCAGGUUGGACAUGUUUUAAGUACAUGGGCCUUCCCGUCCCGACCAGAGGCCAGGAGCCAUGCCCAUGCCUGACAGUAGGGAGUGGUCCAGGAAUGGAUUUUAAUCCUCCCAACUGUGGGGUAGGAAUGAUCCUCCCCAUUUAGAGAUGAGAAAAUCAAGGUUCAGAGAAGUGACAAACCAAGCUCAAGGAAGGGAGGGAUGAUGGCAGGAUCUGAAGCAGCCAUUUCUGCCCGCCUUUGUGGCUGUGAGAGCCCUGCUCCAUGGGCCCAACCAGGGCUGCCAGGGCCCCAGAGCCCCCUACCUG